Molecule: ribosomal RNA, 459 nt
Filed under: uncultured archaeon
Lineage: Archaea
Description: bacterial SSU rRNA
Rfam family: Archaeal small subunit ribosomal RNA
Source: RNAcentral
UUCCGGUUGAUCCCGCCGGACCUGACUGCUAUCGGAUUGAUACUAAGCCAUGCGAGUCAUUGUAGCAAUACAAGGCAUACGGCUCAGUAACGCGUAGUCAACCUAACCUAUGGACGGGAAUAACCUCGGGAAACUGAGAAUAAUGCCCGAUAGAACAUUAUGCCUGGAAUGGUUUAUGCUCCAAAUGAUUUAUCGCCGUAGGAUGGGACUGCGGCCUAUCAGUUUGUUGGUGAGGUAAUGGCCCACCAAGACUAUUACAGGUACGGGCUCUGAGAGGAGUAGCCCGGAGAUGGGUACUGAGACACGGACCCAGGCCCUAUGGGGCGCAGCAGGCGAGAAAACUUUGCAAUGUGCGAAAGCCCGACAAGGUUAAUCCGAGUGGUUUCUGCUAAAGAAACCUUUUGUCAGUCCUAGAAACACUGAUGAAUAAGGGGUGGGCAAGUUCUGGUGUCAGCCGCC